This 725-nucleotide long non-coding RNA is filed under the name Nicotiana benthamiana. RNAcentral describes it as "long non-coding RNA (NBEN_LNC034842)". Lineage: Eukaryota; Viridiplantae; Streptophyta; Magnoliopsida; Solanales; Solanaceae. The record is from RNAcentral.
UCCCCGAUUCACAUCUUGAAUGGAAGGGCCUUCUUCCCCUUCCUCGAGCUUUGAUACCCCGAGGCUCUAGAAACAGGUUAUUCAUGGCUGCUAGAGUCUCAUCUUCCUAUGAUAUGACAUCAGCAGGCAGAAAUGUCUGCUCUAACUGGGGUAGUGGCAGCUCCAGUGGGUAGUAAAGACCGUGCCUUGGUGGAGACCAGUAGUGGAAGUCCUCCCAAGUGUAUUCAUAACCGAGGCCGAAAGUGGUUCCAUGCUUCUUCAACUGGAUGGGCUUGGUGAUACUCUAGAGAUUCUUGCCAAGCCCCUUUCCGGGCUCGUACCCGCUCCAAUUUAGAAUUCUUUCGAUUUUUCUAUCUCACCACUUAUCCUUGUCUAUGGCAUUGACUCGCUCGAUGUGAUGGUAUGUUUCUUCACCGAUUCUCCUUCUUCCUCCGAUCAUCGAGAUAGCCUGGAGACUGUAUAUGGGGUUGCUACCGUCGCCAUGAAUGAUUACUUCUUGAUGAUUCCACAAAAAUUUCACAGCUUGAUGCAAUGUUGACUCCACAUCCCCAGCGGCGUGGAUCCAAGGUCUUCCUAGCAAUAAAUUGUAGGACGUUGGUACGUCAAUGACUUAGAACUCAACGUUGAAGCAGGUGGGUCCCAUCUGCAGGCAUAAGCUAACCUCUCUGGUGGUGGACCUCUGAGAUCCCCAUCCCUGAUGUCGUGCAACCCUUUUCCCAAUGUCC